UACGUAGGGACCAAGCGUUGUUCGGAUUUACUGGGCGUAAAGGGCGCGUAGGCGGCGUGGUAAGUCAGCUGUGAAAUCUCCGAGCUUAACUCGGAACGGUCAGCUGAUACUGCUGUGCUAGAGUACAGAAGGGGCAAUCGGAAUUCUUGGUGUAGCGGUGAAAUGCGUAGAUAUCAAGAGGAACACCUGAGGUGAAGACGGGUUGCUGGGCUGAUACUGACGCUGAAGCGCGAAAGCUAGGGGAGCAAACAGG
This 253-nucleotide ribosomal RNA is filed under the name uncultured bacterium. RNAcentral's name for it is "partial 16S ribosomal RNA". It matches the Rfam family "Bacterial small subunit ribosomal RNA", at positions 524 to 776 of the family's 1533-position model. The record is from RNAcentral.